GGGUUGUGAGGUUAAGCGACUAAGCGUACACGGUGGAUGCCCUGGCAGUCAGAGGCGAUGAAGGACGUGCUAAUCUGCGAAAAGCGUCGGUAAGGUGAUAUGAACCGUUAUAACCGGCGAUGUCCGAAUGGGGAAACCCAGUGUGAUUCGUCACACUAUCGUUAACUGAAUACAUAGGUUAACGAGGCGAACCGGGGGAACUGAAACAUCUAAGUACCCCGAGGAAAAGAAAUCAACCGAGAUUCCCCCAGUAGCGGCGAGCGAACGGGGAGCAGCCCAGAGUCUGAAUCAGCUUGUGUGUUAGUGGAACGGUCUGGAAAGUCCGACGGUACAGGGUGAUAGUCCCGUACACCAAAAUGCACAGGUUGUGAACUCGAAGAGUAGGGCGGGACACGUGGUAUCCUGUCUGAAUAUGGGGGGACCAUCCUCCAAGGCUAAAUACUCCUGACUGACCGAUAGUGAACCAGUACCGUGAGGGAAAGGCGAAAAGAACCCCGGCGAGGGGAGUGAAAAAGAACCUGAAACCGUGUACGUACAAGCAGUGGGAGCACCUUCGGGUGUGACUGCGUACCUUUUGUAUAAUGGGUCAGCGACUUAUAUUCUGUAGCAAGGUUAACCGUAUAGGGGAGCCGCAGGGAAACCGAGUCUUAACUGGGCGUUAAGUUGCAGGGUAUAGACCCGAAACCCGGU
Molecule: ribosomal RNA, 690 nt
Filed under: Klebsiella quasipneumoniae subsp. similipneumoniae
Lineage: Bacteria; Pseudomonadati; Pseudomonadota; Gammaproteobacteria; Enterobacterales; Enterobacteriaceae
Description: partial 23S ribosomal RNA
Rfam family: Bacterial large subunit ribosomal RNA
Source: RNAcentral